RNAcentral lists this ribosomal RNA (294 nucleotides) under uncultured bacterium. RNAcentral's name for it is "partial 16S ribosomal RNA". It matches the Rfam family "Bacterial small subunit ribosomal RNA", at positions 32 to 321 of the family's 1533-position model. The record is from RNAcentral.
AAUCAACGCUGGCGGCGCGCUUAACACAUGCAAGUCGAACGAGAAACGCCCGAGCAAUCGGGUGAGUACAGUGGCGUACGGGUGAGUAACACGUGGAUGAUCUACCUCUUAGUGGGGGAAUAACUCUGGGAAACCGGAGCUAAUACCGCAUAAGCCUGGAAAGGGAAAGCGGUCGUUUCAAAAAUGACACGCUGAGAGAGGAGUCCGCGGCCGAUUAGCUAGUUGGCAGGGUAAAAGCCACCAAGGCAUUGAUCGGUAGCCGGCCUGAGAGGGCACACGGCCACACUGGCACUG